This 394-nucleotide ribosomal RNA is filed under the name uncultured Aeromonas sp. Its description in RNAcentral is "bacterial SSU rRNA". It matches the Rfam family "Bacterial small subunit ribosomal RNA", at positions 1 to 391 of the family's 1533-position model. Lineage: Bacteria; Pseudomonadati; Pseudomonadota; Gammaproteobacteria; Aeromonadales; Aeromonadaceae. The record is from RNAcentral.
GUCAGAGUUUGAUCCUGGCUCAGAUUGAACGCUGGCGGCAGGCCUAACACAUGCAAGUCGAGCGGCAGCGGGAAAGUAGCUUGCUACUUUUGCCGGCGAGCGGCGGACGGGUGAGUAAUGCCUGGGAAAUUGCCCAGUCGAGGGGGAUAACAGUUGGAAACGACUGCUAAUACCGCAUACGCCCUACGGGGGAAAGCAGGGGACCUUCGGGCCUUGCGCGAUUGGAUAUGCCCAGGUGGGAUUAGCUUGUUGGUGAGGUAAUGGCUCACCAAGGCGACGAUCCCUAGCUGGUCUGAGAGGAUGAUCAGCCACACUGGAACUGAGACACGGUCCAGACUCCUACGGGAGGCAGCAGUGGGGGAAUAUUGCACAAUGGGGGAAACCCCUGAUGCAG